RNAcentral lists this unclassified non-coding RNA (235 nucleotides) under Hevea brasiliensis (rubber tree). Lineage: Eukaryota; Viridiplantae; Streptophyta; Magnoliopsida; Malpighiales; Euphorbiaceae. The record is from RNAcentral.
AAAUUCAUCACUUUCUGAGCAAAUGAUUGGUCAAAAUGAUACAAAUUCAAGAAAAAGAAAAUCAAUUUCCAAGGGAAAAUCAUCCAAGAUUGUCAAUGAUAAAAAUGAAUCAAAUGCCAAAAGAAGCAAGUCUGAGGAAAAUGAAAAUAAAGUAACAAAAAAAGAGGAAAAUGCUGUUUUAGAAGAAAAUAAAGAUAACCAAAAGGCAACAGAACCACCAAAGGACUAUAUUCAU